This 361-nucleotide ribosomal RNA is filed under the name Prevotella sp. OH937_COT-195. RNAcentral describes it as "bacterial SSU rRNA". It matches the Rfam family "Bacterial small subunit ribosomal RNA", at positions 815 to 1174 of the family's 1533-position model. Lineage: Bacteria; Pseudomonadati; Bacteroidota; Bacteroidia; Bacteroidales; Prevotellaceae. The record is from RNAcentral.
GCUAAGUGUUAGGGGGUUUCCGCCCCUUAGUGCUGCAGCUAACGCAUUAAGCACUCCGCCUGGGGAGUACGACCGCAAGGUUGAAACUCAAAGGAAUUGACGGGGACCCGCACAAGCAGCGGAGCAUGUGGUUUAAUUCGAAGCAACGCGAAGAACCUUACCAAAUCUUGACAUCCUUUGACCCUUCUAGAGAUAGAAGUUUCCCCUUCGGGGGACAAAGUGACAGGUGGUGCAUGGUUGUCGUCAGCUCGUGUCGUGAGAUGUUGGGUUAAGUCCCGCAACGAGCGCAACCCUUAAACUUAGUUGCCAGCAUUUAGUUGGGCACUCUAGGUUGACUGCCGGUGACAAACCGGAGGAAGGU